RNAcentral lists this transfer RNA (73 nucleotides) under Anguilla anguilla (European eel). It matches the Rfam family "tRNA". From Rfam's summary of the family: Transfer RNA (tRNA) molecules are approximately 80 nucleotides in length. Their secondary structure includes four short double-helical elements and three loops (D, anti-codon, and T loops). Further hydrogen bonds mediate the characteristic L-shaped molecular structure. tRNAs have two regions of fundamental functional importance: the anti-codon, which is responsible for specific mRNA codon recognition, and the 3' end, to which the tRNAs corresponding amino acid is attached (by aminoacyl-tRNA synthetases). tRNAs cope with the degeneracy of the genetic code in two manners: having more than one tRNA (with a specific anti-codon) for a particular amino acid; and 'wobble' base-pairing, i.e. permitting non-standard base-pairing at the 3rd anti-codon position. Lineage: Eukaryota; Metazoa; Chordata; Actinopteri; Anguilliformes; Anguillidae. The record is from Rfam by way of RNAcentral.
GAUUCCAUAGUGUAGCGGUUAUCACGUCUGCUUUACACGCAGAAGGUCCUGGGUUCAAGCCCCAGUGGAAUCA